GAUGAACGCUGGCGGCGUGCCUAAUACAUGCAAGUCGAGCGAACGGACGAGAAGCUUGCUUCUCUGACGUUAGCGGCGGACGGGUGAGUAACACGUGGAUAACCUACCUAUCAGACUGGGAUAACUUCGGGAAACCGGAGCUAAUACCGGAUGAUAUUUUGAACCGCAUGGUUCAAUAGUGAAAGACGGUCUUGCUGUCACUUAUAGAUGGAUCCGCGCUGCAUUAGCUAGUUGGUAAGGUAACGGCUUACCAAGGCAACGAUGCAUAGCCGACCUGAGAGGGGGAUCGGCCACACUGGAACUGAGACACGGUCCAGACUACUACGGGAGGCAGCAGUAGGGAAUCUGCCGCAAUGGGCGAAAGCCUGACGGAGCAACGCCGCGUGAGUGAUGAAGGUCUUCGGAUCGUAAAACUCUGUUAUUAGGGAAGAACAGAUGUGUAAGUAACUGUGCACAUCUUGACGGUACCUAAUCAGAAAGCCACGGCUAACUACGUG
This 497-nucleotide ribosomal RNA is filed under the name uncultured bacterium. RNAcentral describes it as "partial 16S ribosomal RNA". It matches the Rfam family "Bacterial small subunit ribosomal RNA", at positions 28 to 507 of the family's 1533-position model. The record is from RNAcentral.